AUGAUUUUUCUUCUUUUUUCCAACUCAGCUGCACGGUGUGUUGGAGGGGGUCUCGAUGGCCUGUGACCUUGCCUUUAUCUGUCAGUCUGUCACCACUGGUCUUCAAAGUGCAGCUUAAAGGAUCUGAGGCUUCUGUGUGGCCUUGAUGUGAUCUGCUUUCCUGCUUCAUUCAGCUACAGGAUGCCCACAGAAGGAUGCAGAAAAGUUGAAGCAGCAUUUGCUACUUUCCUGAAGCACAGCUUACCUAAGCAGAGCUCUGUUGUCACCUUUGCUCUGCUCUUGCCACACUGCAGCACCCAGCCCUGGGCAUAAUUGAAACUGGGAACCAAAAGCUGGCUAGCACAGAGCCUAAAAUACCCAAGGACAUCCAUAACACAAUCUCAGAAGAGCCUGUACCAGCUUAUAAAUUGUCUGUACAGUGGGAUCUGUCAGGAGGAAGCACAGAUGACAAAAGUUUGAGACUGAA
Chiroxiphia lanceolata (lance-tailed manakin) is the source of this 466-nucleotide long non-coding RNA. RefSeq lists it as uncharacterized. The transcript is spliced from 3 exons. NCBI's taxonomy places the organism in Eukaryota, Metazoa, Chordata, Aves, Passeriformes, Pipridae. The record is from RefSeq and is a predicted model, not a curated record.